GAGUCAAUUUUUCCUUGAGUGAGAAUGGAUGAGAGAAAAUGUGGAGCUCCUGACAUAGUAGCAGAGGAAAGAUGGUCACUACCAUGAUAUGUUACGCUGAUGCUUCAUAAAGGUCAAGACACAAUGCUAAAGACUGAUUGAAAGGCCCCGUUACUUGCAUGACACUAUUCUUGGAUCAACAAAUACUUACUGCCAGGCAUCUUGAAAGGUCAGUGUGCAGUUGUCUAAUCAUAUUGAUAUUCCGAUGGUGAUUAACAUAUGUUAUGUAAUCUUUCUGUGCCUUUCUUAAUGGGAUCAGAUUCUAUAUCAUACAAGUCACAGACUUUCAAAAAGCUAUUGUGAGGGUAAAGCUAAAGACAACAAAAGAAUGAGUCAUUA
Callithrix jacchus (white-tufted-ear marmoset) is the source of this 378-nucleotide non-coding RNA. The record is from RefSeq and is a predicted model, not a curated record. Lineage: Eukaryota; Metazoa; Chordata; Mammalia; Primates; Cebidae.